RNAcentral lists this ribosomal RNA (1486 nucleotides) under metagenome. Its description in RNAcentral is "bacterial SSU rRNA". It matches the Rfam family "Bacterial small subunit ribosomal RNA". The record is from RNAcentral.
AGAGUUUGAUCAUGGCUCAGGAUGAACGCUAGCUACAGGCUUAACACAUGCAAGUCGAGGGGCAGCAUGUCGGUUGCUUGCAACCGACGAUGGCGACCGGCGCACGGGUGAGUAACGCGUAUCCAACCUACCCUUGUCCAUCGGAUAACCCGUCGAAAGGCGGCCUAACACGAUAUGCGGUUCUCAGCAGGCAUCUAACGAGAACGAAAUGUGAAGGAGAAGGAUGGGGAUGCGUCUGAUUAGCUUGUUGGCGGGGUAACGGCCCACCAAGGCGACGAUCAGUAGGGGUUCUGAGAGGAAGGUCCCCCACAUUGGAACUGAGACACGGUCCAAACUCCUACGGGAGGCAGCAGUGAGGAAUAUUGGUCAAUGGACGGGAGUCUGAACCAGCCAAGUAGCGUGCAGGACGACGGCCCUAUGGGUUGUAAACUGCUUUUAUAGGGGGAUAAAGUGUGCCACGUGUGGCAUAUUGCAGGUACCCUAUGAAUAAGGACCGGCUAAUUCUGUGCCAGCAGCCGCGGUAAUACGGAAGGUCCGGGCGUUAUCCGGACUUAUUGGGUUUAAAGGGAGCGUAGGCCGUCUUAUAAGCGUGUUGUGAAAUGUCGGGGCUCAGCCUGGGCAUUGCAGCGCGAACUGUGAGACUUGAGUGCGCAGGAAGUAGGCGGAAUUCGUCGUGUAGCGGUGAAAUGCUUAGAUAUGACGAAGAACUCCGAUUGCGAAGGCAGCCUGCUGUAGCGCAACUGACGCUGAAGCUCGAAAGCGUGGGUAUCGAACAGGAUUAGAUACCCUGGUAGUCCACGCGGUAAACGAUGGAUGCUCGCUGUUUGCGUCUGACGUAAGCGGCCAAGCGAAAGCGUUAAGCAUCCCACCUGGGGAGUACGCCGGCAACGGUGAAACUCAAAGGAAUUGACGGGGACCCGCACAAGCGGUGGAGCAUGUGGUUUAAUUCGAAGCAACGCGAAGAACCUUACCAAGUCUUGACAUCCCUCUGACCGGAACUUAACCGUUCCUUUCCUUCGGGACAGAGGAGACAGGUGGUGCAUGGUUGUCGUCAGCUCGUGCCGUGAGGUGUCGGCUUAAGUGCCAUAACGAGCGCAACCCUUGUUCGUAGUUGCCAUCGGUUAAAGCCGGGCACUCUGCGAAGACUGCCUCCGUAAGGAGUGAGGAAGGUGGGGAUGACGUCAAAUCAGCACGGCCCUUACGUCCGGGGCUACACACGUGUUACAAUGGCAUGUACAGAAAGCUGGGUGUAUGCAAAUACGCUCGAAUCCCUAGAACAUGUCUCAGUUCGGACUGGGGUCUGCAACCCGACCCCACGAAGCUGGAUUCGCUAGUAAUCGCGCAUCAGCCAUGGCGCGGUGAAUACGUUCCCGGGCCUUGUACACACCGCCCGUCAAGCCAUGAAAGCCGGGGGCGCCUAAAGUCCGUGACCGCGAGGGUCGGCCUAUGGUGAAACCGGUGAUUGGGGCUAAGUCGUAACAAGGUA